This 1456-nucleotide long non-coding RNA is filed under the name Sus scrofa (pig). RNAcentral's name for it is "lncRNA (ENSSSCG00030010070.1)". Lineage: Eukaryota; Metazoa; Chordata; Mammalia; Artiodactyla; Suidae. The record is from RNAcentral.
CAGUCAAGGGAAGCCGGAGCCUGGAGAAGACGAGCCGCGCGGUCGGAGGCGCGGUGCGGGACCAGGACAGUGGGGCCUGGCCGUGCGCUUCGCCCUGGCGGUCCAGGAGCUGUCUCGCCCUCCGAAGAGUUACGGGAGGUGGCACUGCUUUUGCUCUCUGCCCUUUCGACACGUGAAGGAGAGAAUCAUUCGGAACCCAGGACUCAGACCGGUGGCCGAGGGCCUGUGCAGCCGCGAGCACGACAGCGCAGCGCUGGCCGCGUCCGCGCGCGUUCCUCCGACAAGGGCAGAGCAGUCGACCAGCGCGCCCCAGUCUCGAUCGGGUUCAAGGCGACUCUUGAGGACGAAGGCGGCUGGUCCCAGAGCAUCUCGGAGAAAGCGGACACCCGUCUUGGCCUUUGGAAGACGCUCAAGGACCACGUGGCCGGGUCCACGGUCUCUGCCCUGCGCCUCGAGGGCGAGGCAGCCCAGGUCUUGCCCUUCUUGCCGGCCACUUCGCCCCCAGCCGACGCCUGGAGCUUGAGGUGACUGAGCGCUCUCAGGUCUGUGUGCUUUUGAAUGUUGAAGAUCAGGGCUCCCCUCCCCCGCCCUCCCGGAAGGGAUGUACACACUCUGGUUACACGUGCACGUGUGCUCCUGUGCACACGCCUGCACGGCCUCUGGAGGACAGGAGCCGGGCGGGCCCUUCUCACACCGUUGCUUGGGCUCGGCUCUGUGCGCUGCCUCCGUGGCUCUGCCCUCCCGCCGGAGACGGGGCCUGUAGGGAGCCGGGCUGGCCCAGGCGUCUCCCCAGGGAGCCGGUCUCGACCGUCUUCUGGGCUCCCUCCUGCCGCAGGUGAAGUGAAGCCGCCUUUGUGAGGAGGCAGCUGUCACGGGUCCGAGCUGGGAGGACCCGUAACUCCCUGGCAUUUCCCAGCAUCUGUGGGGUCGGGCAGCGCUCAGGGGCUCAGCAAGUGAUGGGGUCUCAACCCGGCCCUCCCCCGAGAGCCAGCCUCACUGUGGCCUGUCGGGCACACUUGGCUGCUUCCAGCCUCCUGGGGAGUCAGUGCAGCCGUGAGGGUCAGACCCAGAGUGGCGUCCGUUCCCCUCCCCCGCUCAUGCCAUGGCCAGGGGCAGGCCUGCCUCCCGGGGCUGGGCAGAGAGGACCUGGGAUCCCUCUGCCAUCGGGGCCUCUCAUGUUGGUAGGUCCAGCUUGCCCACCAGACUCCACAGACGCCACCCCGGGGCUUUUCUGUCUGCAUGCAGGGCCUGUGCCAGCUGGUGCCCAAGGGUGGGGUGGGACACUCUGGGGGCAGGAGGGCCUCCAAGGACUUCAGAGACGGAGGAGAGAGGGGGACACGAGAGGGGAAUAGCGGAGGGAAAGAACAGAGCAGAGGCAGAGAGAGCAGGGCCGGGAGAAGGGAGACGGCAGAGCCACCAGGACCCGCGCGCAGCUGUCCCUGGGGAGACGGCCUCG